This 60-nucleotide ribosomal RNA is filed under the name Glomus sp. Its description in RNAcentral is "partial large subunit ribosomal RNA". The record is from RNAcentral. Lineage: Eukaryota; Fungi; Glomeromycota; Glomeromycetes; Glomerales; Glomeraceae.
AAACGAUUGAAGUCAGUCGUACCGACGAGAAAUCAGCUAUCUUGAGUGCGAUUUUGUGGG